CAGUGGGGAAUAUUGGGCAAUGGAGGGAACUCUGACCCAGCGACGCCGCGUGCGGGAUGAAGGCCUUCGGGUUGUAAACCGCUUUCAGCAAGGAAGAAGCGAAAGUGACGGUACUUGCAGAAGAAGCACCGGCUAACUAUGUGCCAGCAGCCGCGGUAAUACAUAGGGUGCAAGCGUUGUCCGGAAUUAUUGGGCGUAAAGAGCUCGUAGGUGGUUCGUCACGUCGGAUGUGAAAAUCUGGGGCUUAACCCCAGACCUGCAUUCGAUACGGGCGAGCUAGAGUGUGGUAGGGGAGACUGGAAUUCCUGGUGUAGCGGUGGAAUGCGCAGAUAUCAGGAGGAACACCAAUGGCGAAGGCAGGUCUCUGGGCCAUUACUGACACUGAGGAGCGAAAGCGUGGGGAGCGAACAGGAUUAGAUACCCCUGUAGUCC
RNAcentral lists this ribosomal RNA (432 nucleotides) under actinobacterium SCGC AAA280-I22. RNAcentral's name for it is "bacterial SSU rRNA". It matches the Rfam family "Bacterial small subunit ribosomal RNA", at positions 352 to 796 of the family's 1533-position model. Lineage: Bacteria; Bacillati; Actinomycetota; Actinomycetes. The record is from RNAcentral.